UAUUCCAGCUCCAAUAGCGUAUAUUUAAGUUGUUGCAGUUAAAAAGCUCGUAGUUGGAUCUCGGGGCGGGGCGAGCGGUCCGCCUCUUUUGGUGUGCACUGGUCGCUCCGCCCUUUCUGUCGGGGACGCGCUCCUGGCCUUAAUUGGCUGGGACGCGGAUUCGGCGAUGUUACUUUGAAAAAAUUAGAGUGCUCAAAGCAAGCCUAUGCUCUGAAUACAUUAGCAUGGAAUAACACGAUAGGACUCUGGUCCUAUUUUGUUGGUCUUCGGGACCGGAGUAAUGAUUAAUAGGGACAGUUGGGGGCAUUCGUAUUUCAUUGUCAGAGGUGAAAUUCUUGGAUUUAUGAAAGACGAACUACUGCGAAAGCAUUUGCCAAGGAUGUUUUCAUUAAUCAAGAACGAAAGUUGGGGGCUCGAAGACGAUCAGAUACCGUCCUAGUCUCAACCAUAAACGAUGCCGACUAGGGAUUGGCGGAUGUUACUUCGAUGACUCCGCCAGCACCUUAUGAGAAAUCAAAGUUUUUGGGUUCCGGGGGGAGUAUGGUCGCAAGGCUGAAACUUAAAGGAAUUGACGGAAGGGCACCACCAGGAGUGGAGCCUGCGGCUUAAUUUGACUCAACACGGGGAAACUUACCAGGUCCAGACAUANGUAAGGAUUGACAGAUUGAGAGCUCUUUCUUGAUUCUAUGGGUGGUGUGCAU
This 701-nucleotide ribosomal RNA is filed under the name Thelypteris environmental sample. RNAcentral describes it as "SSU rRNA". It matches the Rfam family "Eukaryotic small subunit ribosomal RNA", at positions 581 to 1285 of the family's 1831-position model. Lineage: Eukaryota; Viridiplantae; Streptophyta; Polypodiopsida; Polypodiales; Thelypteridaceae. The record is from RNAcentral.